Non-coding RNA from Lasiosphaeria ovina, 90 nucleotides. Lineage: Eukaryota; Fungi; Ascomycota; Sordariomycetes; Sordariales; Lasiosphaeriaceae. The record is from the annotation of a GenBank genome assembly.
UCUUCCGUAGUACAGUGGUCAGUAUGUGAGUUUGUCACUUCCUCGGGAAGCGAUUUGCUCGAGACCCGGUUUCAAAACCAAGCGGGAGAG